RNAcentral lists this ribosomal RNA (371 nucleotides) under uncultured organism. RNAcentral describes it as "partial 16S ribosomal RNA". It matches the Rfam family "Bacterial small subunit ribosomal RNA", at positions 527 to 896 of the family's 1533-position model. The record is from RNAcentral.
GUAGGUGGCAAGCGUUGUCCGGGAUUAUUGGGCGUAAAGCGCGCGCAGGCGGUUCUUUAAGUCUGAUGUGAAAGCCCACGGCUCAACCGUGGAGGGUCAUUGGAAACUGGAGAACUUGAGUACAGAAGAGGAAAGCGGAAUUCCACGUGUAGCGGUGAAAUGCGUAGAGAUGUGGAGGAACACCAGUGGCGAAGGCGGCUUUCUGGUCUGUAACUGACGCUGAGGCGCGAAAGCGUGGGGAGCAAACAGGAUUAGAUACCCUGGUAGUCCACGCCGUAAACGAUGAGUGCUAAGUGUUAGGGGGUUUCCGCCCCCCUUAGUGCUGCAGCUAACGCAUUAAGCACUCCGCCUGGGAUACGGCCGCAAGGCUG